AGGAUCACACCAUCACACCAGAUUCUGGCGCGACAACGACCCAAUUGACGGAGUGUCAACUUAGGGUUUAAGAAAGGGAUAGGCUGUGUAAAAGACCAUGACGAGAGUUAGCAUUCCGACCAAGUUAGACCAGAUUCCGUGUUCCGGUGAAGGUACAGCUAGGGUUCUAGGGAGCAGUGCCGGCAAGGAGAGCCAGGUGAAGAUCCGGUAAGUAGAUUGAAGCAUGUACAGGAGUUCUUCAAGUGAAU
Molecule: long non-coding RNA, 248 nt
Filed under: Helianthus annuus (common sunflower)
Lineage: Eukaryota; Viridiplantae; Streptophyta; Magnoliopsida; Asterales; Asteraceae
Description: sRNA HanXRQr2_Chr04g0170771
Source: RNAcentral